RNAcentral lists this long non-coding RNA (1494 nucleotides) under Capsicum annuum. Its description in RNAcentral is "long non-coding RNA (CANN_LNC007604)". The record is from RNAcentral. Lineage: Eukaryota; Viridiplantae; Streptophyta; Magnoliopsida; Solanales; Solanaceae.
AAGGUAAAUUACGGACGAGGUCCUAUGUCUCUGAGUUGACUGAGGUUAAAGCUGGUCCCUAGUCUCUGAGUUGACUGAGGUGAAAGAACAUUUAACUGGAGAGCUGGAGGAGAUGCGAGUGGUUGUGGCUACUAUGGAUGCUGAAAUCUCACAUCAAGAUACAUCAGCUAUCUUCUGAGGGACCUGGUACCUCAGAUGAUCUGAAGGCUAAAAAUGAAGGGUUAAAGGCCCAAGCUUCUAUACUCACUGUUGAGGUUAAGGGUCUUACUAAUGAAGUAAAGAACUUCACAAAGUAGCUCCAUAAUGUCCAUGCUACUGGAAGUGCUAGUAUGGACAGGCCCCUCAAUUUGCUUGCCCCCAAACCUCCAUUCUCGUAAGCCCCGUUAUUGUUCUUACCUAAUUCUUUUCCUUCUUCCUAUCCAUUGUAUCUCUCUGGCACAUAACGGUGACUUAAGUAUUUUUAAUUUAUGUGAUGUGUAUGGUACUGUCUUCCCAUUUUAAUGAAGUAGUCUUUUUAUGUCUACUGUCUAAUCUCUUCUGAUUGGCCUGUUCAUUCGUGUCAAUUUAGCCUCUUGGGCUAACUUCCUUUUCUUUAGUUGAAUCUUCUGAUGAUCAUGGGCUAACAGAAAGUCUCUUCAGUUAUACCUUUCGUUUGAUAUUCUCUACACACACUCACUCAUGUCAUGUUGACACAACUGCAACACCGAAAAUAAAAAAAAUUGAGCAACUUAGGCGAAGAUUAAUCAACACUUUUCACAAGUUGAUGCAACUUCACUUAUAUAUUCCGUAACAUAAUGUAUGCCUAGGGCGAUGAAUUAUGCUUCUCUUCUUCACUCAAAGAGGUAAUUAUAAUAUGCCGUUUGUUUGAAUAGUACUACAUUUAUGAGAAUAAUUUUAAUGAAAACUAGUAUUGUACCCGCGCGUUGCGUGGAAUAUUAAGAAAUUAUAAUAAUGAGUAAAUGCACUAUUUUCAUCUUGAACUAUAAACGAAAUUGCUGAGACAUACCCAAACUUAGGAGGGUCCUAUUACCACUGGACUAAUUAAAAUCGUAUUUUUUACAACCUUAGUGCUUAUACGCAUACAUGGCACAUCAGUGAAUUAAAACACUGAAGGUCUACGUAGGCACAUUUAUGUUCUACAUAUGUGUCACGUAGGCACUAAGAUUGCAAAAAAUUCGAUUUUAAUUAGUCCAGUGGGUAAUAGGACCCUCCUAAAGUUCGGGUGUGUCUCAGCAAUUUCGUUUAUAGUUUAAGGUGAAAACAGAGAAUUUUCUCUAUAAUAAAUGCAAAUAUUUACGUGACUUACUUAAAUAAUAACUUAUAUUCGUUGUAAAAAGAAUUCAAUUGAUAUCAUUCUUUUCAAUGUAGUGUACUUAGUAAAAAAAAAAUCAUAUGUUAGACCAAAGGAAAUUAUUAAAUAAUUUUCAAAUGUCAUUACUGAAUAGUUUAAACUUAAGUGAGUGAACAGAGAAUAAUUUCUCGAGAAAUAAAAAA